This 883-nucleotide ribosomal RNA is filed under the name archaeon enrichment culture clone AOM-SR-A55. RNAcentral's name for it is "bacterial SSU rRNA". It matches the Rfam family "Archaeal small subunit ribosomal RNA", at positions 1 to 888 of the family's 1478-position model. The record is from RNAcentral.
UCCGGUUGAUCCUGCCGGAGGCUACUGCUAUCGGGGUUCGAUUAAGCCAUGCGAGUUAAAUGUUCUUCGUGAACAUAGCGAACUGCUCAGUAACACGUGGAUAACCUACCCUUAGGACCGGAAUAACCCCGGGAAACUGGGGAUAAUACCGGAUAAGCCAUAGACGCUGGAAUGCCCUAUGGUUCAAAGCUCCGGCGCCUAAGGAUGGAUCUGCGGUCUAUCAGGUUGUAGUGGGUGUAACGUACCUACUAGCCGACGACGGAUACGGGUUGUGAGAGCAAGAGCCCGGAGAUGGAUUCUGAGACACGAAUCCAGGCCCUACGGGGUGCAGCAGGCGCGAACACUUUACAAUGCGGGAAACCGCGAUAAGGGAACCCCGAGUGCCAGCAUCAAAUGUUGGCUGUCCGGAUGAUUAAAAAUCAUUUGUUAGCAAGGGCCGGGCAAGACCGGUGCCAGCCGCCGCGGUAACACCGGCGGCCCGAGUGGUAGCCGUUUUUAUUGGGUCUAAAGGGUCCGUAGCCGGCCUGAUCAGUCCUUUGGGAAAUCUGGCAGCUUAACUGUCAGGCUUCUAAGGGAUACUGUCAGGCUUGGGACCGGAAGAGGUAAGGGGUACUCCAGGGGUAGGAGUGAAAUCUUGUAAUCCCUGGGGGACCAUCUGUGGCGAAGGCGCCUUACCAGAACGGGUCCGACGGUGAGGGACGAAAGCUAGGGGAGCAAACCGGAUUAGAUACCCGGGUAGUCCUAGCUGUAAACGAUGCUCGCUAGGUGUCAGACACGGUGCGACCGUGUUUGGUGCCGCAGGGAAGCCGUUAAGCGAGCCACCUGGGAAGUACGGUCGCAAGGCUGAAACUUAAAGGAAUUGGCGGGGGAGCACUACAACGGG